This 484-nucleotide ribosomal RNA is filed under the name uncultured bacterium. RNAcentral's name for it is "partial 16S ribosomal RNA". It matches the Rfam family "Bacterial small subunit ribosomal RNA", at positions 30 to 507 of the family's 1533-position model. The record is from RNAcentral.
AUUGAACGCUGGCGGCAGGCCUAACACAUGCAAGUCGAGCGGAUGAAGGGAGCUUGCUCCUGGAUUCAGCGGCGGACGGGUGAGUAAUGCCUAGGAAUCUGCCUGGUAGUGGGGGAUAACGUCCGGAAACGGGAGCUAAUACCGCAUACGUCCUGAGGGAGAAAGUGGGGGAUCUUCGGACCUCACGCUAUCAGAUGAGCCUAGGUCGGAUUAGCUAGUUGGUGGGGUAAAGGCCUACCAAGGCGACGAUCCGUAACUGGUCUGAGAGGAUGAUCAGUCACACUGGAACUGAGACACGGUCCAGACUCCUACGGGAGGCAGCAGUGGGGAAUAUUGGACAAUGGGCGAAAGCCUGAUCCAGCCAUGCCGCGUGUGUGAAGAAGGUCUUCGGAUUGUAAAGCUCUUUAAGUUGGGAGGAAGGGCAGUAAGUUAAUACCUUGCUGUUUUGACGGUACCAACAGAAUAAGCACCGGCUAACUUCGUG